This 253-nucleotide ribosomal RNA is filed under the name uncultured bacterium. Its description in RNAcentral is "partial 16S ribosomal RNA". It matches the Rfam family "Bacterial small subunit ribosomal RNA", at positions 524 to 776 of the family's 1533-position model. The record is from RNAcentral.
UACGUAGGGGGCAAGCGUUGUCCGGAUUUAUUGGGCGUAAAGAGUGUGUAGGCGGCCUGGUAGGUCAGCUGUGAAAACUCGAGGCUCAACCUCGAGACGCCGGUUGAAACCAUCAGGCUAGAGUCCGGAAGAGGAGAGUGGAAUUCCCGGUGUAGCGGUGAAAUGCGCAGAUAUCGGGAAGAACACCCGUGGCUAAGGCGGCUCUCUAGUACGGUACUGACGCUGAGACGCGAAAGCGUGGGGAGCGAACAGG